GCAGGGUAGAGUAUUGAGCGUUAAGUGCUAUUGUUACGGAAUGUUGAACAUAGACGAAAACCUCAGGUUGCGGUUCAUUACUCGCAUUCACUGC
RNAcentral lists this non-coding RNA (94 nucleotides) under uncultured Cellulosilyticum sp. Its description in RNAcentral is "THF riboswitch". It matches the Rfam family "THF (Tetrahydrofolate) riboswitch aptamer". Rfam says of the family: THF riboswitch presents a pseudoknot that joins P1-P2 and the loop of P3 and two THF binding. Lineage: Bacteria; Bacillati; Bacillota; Clostridia; Lachnospirales; Cellulosilyticaceae. The record is from RNAcentral.